Mus musculus (house mouse) is the source of this 1204-nucleotide long non-coding RNA. RefSeq annotates it as predicted gene, 54022. Lineage: Eukaryota; Metazoa; Chordata; Mammalia; Rodentia; Muridae. The transcript is spliced from 3 exons. The record is from RefSeq and is a predicted model, not a curated record.
CAGCCACAAGAGUUGUUUUUAGCCAGAUGAACUUGACAAGGCAGAGAGGGAACGGCUAAUACCUCAAGCCAGUGAUAGCCACAUCACACUCCGUUCUUGACUCACAGCGGUUCCCCGGGACCUUCACUAUUAAUGCCAGUGUGCCCACUCAAGACCCCAGCACACACCAGGGGAGCUUCCAGCGGGAGCUGUGGAAGUCAGCCCGAGAGCCUGGUGAUGCUACUAGGCAAGACUAAAGCACCUGAUCUCCAGCCAGUCCCAGGAGACACACUGGCCUUGCUCAGCUCCGGAAGGACUCCCAGGUCAAGUCCCUGUACUCUGUUAUUCUCCGUAUACUCCAUCCCGGUCAGUGAUGUGAAAUACAAGCUCCCGCUGGACCACGGUUGGUGCAUCCACAUCCAGAGGACACAGGCAAGACUUUUCUUCUGUUAGUUUGCCUAUCAGCUUGGAGCAGGGAUUUCCUCAGUGGGCUCUGAGCCCCCCCCCCCAGAGGCCCCUGGGAGCCUUUCAAGGGACCUGCAAAGUCAAAACUAUUUUCAUAAUAAGACAAAGACAUUCAUUGUGUGAUAUAAUUAGGAUGCUUGUGUUUUGUUUUUGCCUUCCCUCCUAAGUACACAGAGGUGUUUUCUGAAAACCACUGUGUGCUAUUUGCAACACAGGGAAAGUAGCAGCUGGUUUAAGGCAUGCCUUCCACAAACCUGAUAUUAAAGAGGAUUACAGUCAUUUCUUACUAGUGUUCCUUGUUUAAAAAGAUAGAGGUGGGACACUAAUUUAUUGCUGGGGGGAAUGCAAACCUGCCCAGCUACUGUGGAAAUCACCGUGGCAGUUCCUCAGGAAGCCAAGAAUAGAUCUACCUCAAGAUCCAGCUAUACCACUCUUGGGCAUAUCUCGAGGAUUCCGUGUCUUACUACUGAGAUAUUUGUUCAUCCAUAUUCAUUGCCGCAUUAUUCAUAAUAGCCAGACAUUGGGAGCAACCUAGACAUCCACCAACUGAUAGCUGAACAACGAUCUGUGGUCCAUUACACAAUAGAAUGUAAUUCAGCUGUUCUGAAAAUGAAAUUGUAAGGUUUGCAGAUAAAUGGAUGGGACUAGAAAUGGCCAUCCUGAGUGAUGUAACCCAGACCCCAGAAGACAAACAUAGUAUGUGUUUCUCUUAUAUGUGGACGUUAGCUUUUAAGCUUUCUCAUUUUUUAUUAGAUAUUUU